CCCUUAGAUGUUCUGGGCUGCACGCGCGCUACACUGAUGCAUCCAACAAGUUUUUUCCUUGUUCGAGAGGACUAGGUAAUCUUAUGAGAAUGCAUCGUGAUGGGGAUAGAUUAUUGCAAUUAUUAAUCUUCAACGAGGAAUUCCUAGUAAGCGCGAGUCAUCAGCUCGUGCUGAUUACGUCCCUGCCCUUUGUACACACCGCCCGUCGCUGCAACUGAUUGGGUGACCUGGUGAACAUCUUGGACCGGCCCACUCAAUUUCGAGAGGACUGGAAAAGGCCGUAAAUCAGGUACAUCGAGAAAUUGCAAAAGUCGUAACA
This 319-nucleotide ribosomal RNA is filed under the name uncultured eukaryote. RNAcentral's name for it is "partial 18S ribosomal RNA". It matches the Rfam family "Eukaryotic small subunit ribosomal RNA", at positions 1470 to 1796 of the family's 1831-position model. The record is from RNAcentral.